CUGUCUCUCCCAGACAGAGGGGGACCUUGAGUUACCGCAGACUGCCGAGUAAGCACCGAGCAGUCUGACUGUACACUACUGCAGAUGUAAUGGGGGGCCUGGCCCCGAGCCAACAGCUAGCUAGUUAGUUAAAGACGGUGGCAGUUGGGUCAACGCAGCCGUGUAUGGGGUUCUGUCCCCGCAAGGCUGCUUGCCGUUUUUACUAGCUACACAUAUUCAACAUUGGGCCAGUAAAAUUGAAACUUCAUCAGCGCCAGCUAGCCUCCCCACCGCUAGCUGGCUAGCGAACUAAUGGAAAUUACUUUAGUAUAAUGGGGCUUCAAUCUUCCCACACUUGCCCUGAUGCCAGACUGACUAUGCAGUAGAAAUGCGGCUCUUGCAGAUAAUCAAGGUACCAGUUUAACCCUCAGACUGAAAUUAACAGGCUAUGAUGGCUCCCCUGAGAAAAGACUGCAGGUCACUGUCGGUCGGACCAAAGGGGAGCAGCAACAAAACAACUCACCAGUCCUUCCCUUCGCUCCUUCCUGGGAAAAACAAACACUGUCAUCAUAAAGAACAAAUGAGAGAAAAAAAAUAUGUAUUUUAAUUUCUGAUUUUUGUAAUCAUGUCUAACCUUUUUUGGGGGGAAGGGAAAGGGGUCGGGUGGGGGGGUGUAGAUGACAUCAUGAUGACUCUGAAGUUUCAUAACUUCUCUGUCUAUUUUUGUGAUUUAUUAACACAUUAGAUAGAUGUACAGUAACUUGUUAGGGACUCUAAGCCUUGAUGAUAUGUUUGUUUUCAGGAAGGAGAGGAAAAGCCGAAUGACACAAAGCAAUGUAAUAACACAGUCUCCAACAGCAGUGACCUAGCCUGAUCCCAGGUCUGUUUGUGCUGUCUUCCAUGGCUUUGGUGACUGCACAAACAGAUCUGGGACCAGGCUAGCAGAGACCCACGUCUACGUUUACGAAUUCUACAGGUGGCCCCUUGUGGGCUGAGUACAGUAACUGACAGGCAGCAGCAUGUCAUCCACUCUGCCACAGAACAAAACACAGUUCAAACAGCAGCAUUAUCCUUCUAUUUAUGUUUUAACACUCACUCAGUGCUCUCUGCAUUGUUCACACGCUCAACUGCAGUAUGUGAUCGCUCCUUAACACAGUAUUAAGCUAGGCCUAGACCUGUAUCAUUAUCUCUACAAAACACACUCUUCAACGUCUUUUGAAGGGAGUGGUUGCACCUCGAAGCGUAACCAUUCAAACGUUGGGUUCACGAUUUUACUUUUUAACAGUCCUAAUUGCUCUGCUCUUCAGGUGAUCCACACCCUUCAGCUCUCAAAUUCUUCUCUCAUUCUCAAAACUCUUAAUAUUUACACACUCUACAGUAUUUACUGAGGCUAAGAGUCCCCCCUUUUUCCAUGUUAGCUAGUAAAUGCUUGGUAGUGUGUUUUUGUAUUUGAAACGUUUAUGGUUUUAAGUAGGUUUGCUUUUUUAAAGUUUUAGAUUGUUUGUUGCUAGUAUAAAACCAUGUGUAGACAGUUAAUGUACGCUGUGAUGUAGCCUAUAGAAGUAGCUAUAGUAGAAAUGCAUUGUUCCCUUGUGGUAAGUGAGUGAGAUGCUGCCACGGAACUGAGACACUGAUGAUUGGUGCUAUUUUGGACUUUAAUCUGCUCCUUGGAAAGGUAGCCGAGAUGGGUUUUCUUGUUUUACUUUCACAUUCUGAGUAAAGAAGGUGUUGGUUCUUUGUUGUCAUGGUUGUUGUAACUUGGUCUGGAUUGGCUUAGUUUUUCACUGUUUUCUGUGUGGCUUUCUCAUUGGAUUUAAGAUUUGAGGACAUAUAAACUUUUAUCAUGGUCAAUGUUUUACUGAAGGAAAAGAGGAUUCAUGUGAGAAGAUUUGAGGAUACACCAUGUUGAUGGGAGCAAUCACAAAACUGCAAUUGUUAAAAACACUAGUUACCCUUUAAUACUGACAUGUGCAUUCAAAGGUAUACAAUGUAUCUAGUAGUACCCAGCACUGGUCACUUUUAGAAAAUGUUAAGCUUUUUUGAGUUGGUGUGUUUUGAUUGACAGACAAUCUCGAAACCAAGAGUGCAGUUCCGCCCCUAGCAUGUUUGUGUGUAACGGAGAUCUCCUAAGAGAUUUUGCACACAUACGAGUGAGUUAUGAAUUUGUCACAUGGAAACGUAUAGAAGAAGCCACAGCAUAACGCAAUGUUAAUGUCUGAUAUCUGCUUCAAGUUGAUUAGAAUAAGUAAACAGUAAAAUGAAGGUUAUUUUUUUUGAAAAGUCAUGCUUUUCAAAAAUGGCACUUGAGAGAACUUGAUAGAGUUAAACGCUAAAAGGAAUGAACACACUCAAUGUGUUUUAAGGCCCAGCCUGUUUGGGUUCGGGUUCAGGGUUUCAACUUUUCCUCAUCUCCUUCACCAGCUAGAUAUGACUCAAUCCUAUAGACAGUCAUGUGUGACUUAAUGUUAACGUGAGACUGGAAUCACAUGAUGCAUAUAAUCUUGUUUAAAAAAAAUUUAAUACAAUUUUCCAAAUGGUGCACAUGUAGCAUAAAGUUAGAAUAGAACAAUCUUUUUAAUUUAUGUAUUUUCUGAAUGAUUUUGUAAAUUGAUGUUGAUGAGAAGCUUACUUUGUUAUAAAACAGACAAACUAAAACCAAAAAGCUUUUUAUUGUUUUUAGCUAUAGAUUUAAAACAUCAAAGUAUUGUCAGUAUUUGCAGUUUUGUCUUUGCUUCCCUGUUAAUUUAUUUUGUUAAAGAUUCUAAUAUUAAUAUGAUAAUAACCAACUUGAAAGCCCAUGUUAUUAUUCUUUUGUCUUCCAUUCUCCCUCGAUUCUGGGAACCUUUUUGUACCAGCAUGUUCUAGUGUUAUUGAUCGCUUGCUCUCUUCCUCAUUGAGUUGAUUUGUUACACAUUUUUCCUCUUGCAGUUCUUUCCUUUCAGACUAGUUAAUAUGAAAGCUAUUUUGUACAUAGCAAAGUGAAUAGCAUAUGCAGGAUGUGCUGUAGUGUGUUGAGUCAGGUAUUCAGUAAUUACCACUGUAUAUGGUUGGAGAAAAAAACACGAUAUGCCAGCUUUGCAAAAUUAUUACAACGAUGCACUUAACUUACAGUAUCCCAUGUACUUUUUUUUUUGGCAAUUUUAAAAGUAGUGCAAUAAAUAUGCAAGCUUGUAAA
Salvelinus fontinalis (brook trout) is the source of this 3154-nucleotide long non-coding RNA. RefSeq lists it as uncharacterized. The transcript is spliced from 4 exons. NCBI's taxonomy places the organism in Eukaryota, Metazoa, Chordata, Actinopteri, Salmoniformes, Salmonidae. The record is from RefSeq and is a predicted model, not a curated record.